GGAGUUAGCCGGUGCUUCUUCUGUGAGUGAUGUCCUUCCUGCCGGCUAUUAACCCGCAGGCCUUCUUCCUCACUGAAAGUGCUUUACAACCCGAAGGCCUUCUUCACACACGCGGCAUGGCUGGAUCAGGGUUGCCCCCAUUGUCCAAUAUUCCCCACUGCUGCCUCUCGUAGGAGUCUGGGCCGUGUCUCAGUCCCAGUGUGGCUGAUCAUCCUCUCAGACCAGCUACGGAUCGUCGCCUUGGUGAGCCGUUACCUCACCAACCAGCUAAUCCGACAUAGGCUCAUCCGAUAGCGCGAGGCCCGAAGGUCCCCCGCUUUCCCCCGUAGGGCGUAUGCGGUAUUAGCCUGGGUUUCCCCAGGGUUAUCCCCCACUACCGGGCAGAUUCCUAUGCAUUACUCACCCGUCCGCCGCUCGCCACCAGGGAGCAAGCUCCCCGUGCUGCCGCUCGACUUGCAUGUGUUAGGCCUGCCGCCAGCGUUCAAUCUGAGCCAGGAUCAAACUCUGA
RNAcentral lists this ribosomal RNA (508 nucleotides) under uncultured bacterium. RNAcentral describes it as "partial 16S ribosomal RNA". The record is from RNAcentral.